UACGGGGGGAGGCAAGCGUUGUUCGGAUUUACUGGGCGUAAAGGGCGCGUAGGCGGUCGUGACAAGUCACUUGUGAAAUCUCCGGGCUUAACUCGGAACGGUCAAGUGAUACUGUCGGACUAGAGUACAGAAGGGGGCAACUGGAAUUCUCGGUGUAGCGGUGAAAUGCGUAGAUAUCGAGAGGAACACCUGGCGGCGAAGGCGGGUUGCUGGGCUGAUACUGAC
This 225-nucleotide ribosomal RNA is filed under the name uncultured bacterium. Its description in RNAcentral is "partial 16S ribosomal RNA". It matches the Rfam family "Bacterial small subunit ribosomal RNA", at positions 524 to 744 of the family's 1533-position model. The record is from RNAcentral.